AUUCAGCUGAUAAAUCCCAAAUAGGACGAAACGCGUGUCCUGGAU
RNAcentral lists this non-coding RNA (45 nucleotides) under Schistosoma mansoni. Lineage: Eukaryota; Metazoa; Platyhelminthes; Trematoda; Strigeidida; Schistosomatidae. The record is from RNAcentral.